GUACCGUUCUAGGCUUUUUUCUGAGUUUAUGAACAACCUCAACAAACAGAAGCUUUUGGCAUCUUUUGAUUGAAGAAAAACUCAAGAUUUUCAAAUGAUACAAGCACAAUAUAUUUGUAGUAACUGAUAAAAGCAAUAUUGAGAGCAAAAGGGGUGAAGUCAACUUACCUGCGCAAGAGAUGUUUUUCCAGAUUUUGUUAAGGAAAGCCAAAGUUCAAAGCAACAACAAUAUUGAGACUGAGAGUGGAGAUGACUUACCUACGGCGAGGAGAUUUUCGCCGGAUUUAUUGCUGAGGCUUUUGAUGAAGGUGAUGCCAUAACACCUCUCUUUGAAAUUGCUUCAAGACUUGAAGAUGGACUUCAAGUUGGAACUCUCCACCAAGGUAUGAAGAAUUUCUUCUUCACUCUCUUCAAACCAUGGAACUUUGUAACUAGGAAUUCUCACUUCUCAAGUGGUUUUCUUUGGUUUGAAGAAUUGCUUCUUCUUGCCAAGAAACUUGAAAACUAUGAGAGAAAAGAGAGAAGUGAGAAAGCUAGUAGUAUAGUAGCUUUGGUGUCAUUUGCAAUGAAGUGAGGCCUUCUAUUUAUAGGAAAAGUUAAGGAUGUGUUUGGCAUUUGGUAAACUUGAUUGGCAAGUUUCAAUCAUUGCAAGAUAAGAAAAAGAAUAAGAAUAUUCUUUAUGAGAUAUUUCUCUUGCAAGUGGACAUGAAAUAUCUUUGAUUCCUUUUGUCUUGAAUUAUUUCUUUUUUUGAAUUAUUUCUUUUGUUGGAUUUUUACUAAUCUCACCCCUUUUUGUUUCUUUUUUCAUGUGACAUGAUCAUUCUUG
Vicia villosa (hairy vetch) is the source of this 826-nucleotide long non-coding RNA. RefSeq lists it as uncharacterized. Lineage: Eukaryota; Viridiplantae; Streptophyta; Magnoliopsida; Fabales; Fabaceae. The record is from RefSeq and is a predicted model, not a curated record. The transcript has 5 exons.